This 1260-nucleotide long non-coding RNA is filed under the name Sus scrofa (pig). Its description in RNAcentral is "lncRNA (ENSSSCG00070006445.1)". Lineage: Eukaryota; Metazoa; Chordata; Mammalia; Artiodactyla; Suidae. The record is from RNAcentral.
CCCUGGUGGGCUGCCGGGGAAUGGGCGCGCCGCGCGCUGCUGGGGACAGUGCCUUGGGGCCGCGCGCUGGGAAGCCCACGCCCUGCCGUGGGGUCUGGCCGGCCUAGCCCUUGGCACCCGCGGCUCCCCCAGCUCCAGGGCCUCCCCUGCCUCCGCUAAAUGCCCUGCUUCCCCUGUGCAGGGGCACUCCUAGACGAGAGUAAGGGCGACCCCCAGGUGCCCUGCCUGCAUGUUUGCUUGACGGACCAGAAACAUGGGGGAAGAGAGAGGGUCGUGGCCAAAGACCCAACACCAGCCCCAGCCCCAGCCCGCGCUCCUUCCCCACCACCUAUUUCUGGUGGCUGUGGGUGUGUUGGCUGGUGGGUGUGUGGGUGGGUUUUGAGGGAGCAACAUCCGAUCUGCCUGGGCGCUCCAGCGGGGUUGGAGGGGAGUGGGGUGGGAGUGGGGGGUCGCCUGCCCCUGCCUGCCUCUGUAACCUCCCCUCGUCUGCCCCUUGGCCUCCGGGGCCGAGCCAAGCCCUUGGUCGGGCUUUCCGCCAGGAGCCCCUGCCAGCAGCAGCCCAGGGACCUGAGGGCACCCUGCCCCCUUCCCUGGCCUCAGGCCGCCUCCUGCUUGGAGCGCCUCGGCUUCCCCGGGGCCCUCCUGCUCGCAAGCACGGGGCGCUCCCCCGGGUGGGGGGCCUUCUUUGCCCCUCCGGGGCUGCUGGGCUGGCAUGGAUCGCGAGGGGGACCGUCCUGGGCAUCCCCUGUGGACCGAGCAGCAGCGUCCGGCAGGCUCCCGGCCCCGUCGGCCCGACCGACCCUCGAGACCCCGGGUGGGCGGCUGGGGACCAGGGCCAUUGGGCUCUCGCUGGGGCUCCCGCACCAGACCCCCAACGGGCCCCGACCCGAGGCCGCGCCCCCCCCCAAUCCCCCGUGGUUCUGGUCUCCAGCCUCCGGCCCAAUGCCCCUGCAGCCGGGCCCCAGCCUUCCUCCCUGCCACCCCCGAGGAGGCCCCGGCGCAGGGCUGGCCAGGCGCGUCCGCCCUGGGCUGAGCACGAGCGGGGACGAGGCAGGCAGGUAGGCAGGCAGGGCAGCUGGGGGUCGCCGUCCCUCUCGGGCAGGAGUGCCCCUGCACAGGAGAGGCAGGGCAGUCAGCGGAGGCCCUGGAGCUGGGGGAGCCGCGGGGGCCAAGGGCCAGGCCGGCCAGGCCCCAGGGCAGGGCGGGGGCAUCCCAGCGCGCGGCCCCAAGGCACUGUCCCCAGCAGCGCGCGGCGCGCCC